UACGUAGGGUGCAAGCGUUAAUCGGAAUUACUGGGCGUAAAGCGUGCGCAGGCGGUGAUGUAAGACAGGUGUGAAAUCCCCGGGCUUAGCCUGGGAACUGCAUUUGUGACUGCAUCGCUGGAGUGCGGCAGAGGGGGAUGGAAUUCCGCGUGUAGCAGUGAAAUGCGUAGAUAUGCGGAGGAACACCGAUGGCGAAGGCAAUCCCCUGGGCCUGCACUGACGCUCAUGCACGAAAGCGUGGGGAGCAAACAGG
This 253-nucleotide ribosomal RNA is filed under the name uncultured bacterium. RNAcentral's name for it is "partial 16S ribosomal RNA". It matches the Rfam family "Bacterial small subunit ribosomal RNA", at positions 524 to 776 of the family's 1533-position model. The record is from RNAcentral.